RNAcentral lists this ribosomal RNA (424 nucleotides) under uncultured bacterium. RNAcentral's name for it is "bacterial SSU rRNA". It matches the Rfam family "Bacterial small subunit ribosomal RNA", at positions 202 to 622 of the family's 1533-position model. The record is from RNAcentral.
CAAGACCUCUCACUAUUGGAGCGGCCGAUGUCUGAUUAGCUAGUUGGUGGGGUAAAAGCUCACCAAGGCGACGAUCAGUAGCUGGUUUGAGAGAACGACCAGCCACACUGGGACUGAGACACGGCCCAGACUCCUACGGGAGGCAGCAGUGGGGAAUUUUGGACAAUGGGGGCAACCCUGAUCCAGCCAUGCCGCGUGCGGGAAGAAGGCCUUCGGGUUGUAAACCGCUUUUGUCAGGGAAGAAAUUGGACUUACUAAUACUAGGUCUAGAUGACGGUACCUGGAGAAUAAGCACCGGCUAACUACGUGCCAGCAGCCGCGGUAAUACGUAGGGUGCAAGCGUUAAUCGGAAUUACUGGGCGUAAAGCGUGCGCAGGCGGUUUUUUAAGACAGGCGUGAAAUCCCCGGGCUUAACCUGGGAACU